CCUGCAUGAAGUCGGAAUUGCUAGUAAUCGCAGAUCAGCAUGCUGCGGUGAAUACGUUCCCGGGCCUUGUACACACCGCCCGUCACACCAUGGGAGUCGGUAACACCCGAAGUCGGUAGCCUAACCGUAAGGAGGGCGCCGCCGAAGGUGGGAUUGAUGACUGGGGUGAAGUCGUAACAAGGUAUC
This 186-nucleotide ribosomal RNA is filed under the name uncultured bacterium. RNAcentral describes it as "partial 16S ribosomal RNA". It matches the Rfam family "Bacterial small subunit ribosomal RNA", at positions 1315 to 1500 of the family's 1533-position model. The record is from RNAcentral.